This 626-nucleotide ribosomal RNA is filed under the name uncultured fungus. RNAcentral's name for it is "eukaryotic LSU rRNA". The stretch from base 171 to 324 matches the Rfam family "5.8S ribosomal RNA". Lineage: Eukaryota; Fungi. The record is from RNAcentral.
CCUGCGGAAGGAUCAUUCAUAAUAAGUGUUCUACUGCACUUUUUAAAAAUAGUACUCACCUUGUGUGCAAUGUUGUGUGAGCUUGUCUAGUACAAGUUCGCACCUACACCAACCUAUAAUUUUGAACCACUUUGUCUGAAAAACUAUUAUGAAUACUUAAUUCAAAAUACAACUUUCAACAACGGAUCUCUUGGCUCUCGCAUCGAUGAAGAACGCAGCGAAAUGCGAUACGUAAUGUGAAUUGCAGAAUUCAGUGAAUCAUCGAAUCUUUGAACGCACAUUGCACUCUCUGGUAUUCCGGAGAGUAUGCUUGUUUGAGUAUCAGUAAACACCUCAAAUCUCUACAUUCGUGUCGAGAAUUGGACUUGAGCAAUCCCAACUCUUUGCAAAAAGGGGCGGGUUGCUUGAAAUGCAGGUGCAGCUGGACAUUCUUCUGAGCUAAAAGCAUAUUUAUUUAGUCCCGUCAAACGGAUUAUUACUUUUGCUCUAGCUAACAUAAAGGUCGAAUGAACUAUACGCUGACUGAUGCAGGAUUACCAAGUUUCCGUGAAAAAGAAACUUGUAAACUCGAUCUCAAAUCAAGUAAGACUACCCGCUGAACUUAAGCAUAUCAAUAAGCGGAGGAA